UGAAUUGAAGCCCCAGUAAACGGCGGCCGUAACUAUAACGGUCCUAAGGUAGCGAAAUUCCUUGUCAGGUAAGUUCUGACCCGCACGAAAGGCGUAACGAUUUGGGCGCUGUCUCAGCUGUAGACUCGGUGAAGUCUUAGUACCUGUGAAGAUGCAGGUUACCCGCGACUAGACGGAAAGACCCCAUGGAGCUUUACUGUAGCUUGAUAUUGGACUUUGAUGCAAGAUGUACAGGAUAGGUAGGAGACUGAGAGACAUGCACGCCAGUGUGUGAGGAGUCAAUGUUGGGAUACUACUCUUCUUGUAUUGGAGUUCUAACCGGAUGCCAUGGAACUGGCAACGGGACAGUGUCAGGUGGGCAGUUUGACUGGGGCGGUCGCCUCCCAAAGAGUAACGGAGGCGCCCAAAGAUACCCUCAGCUUGGAUGGAAAUCAAGCGCAGAGUGCAAAGGCAUAAGGGUGUUUGACUGCGAGACCUACAAGUCGAGCAGGGACGAAAGUCGGGCUUAGUGAUCCGGCGGUGCUGAAUGGAAAGGCCGUCGCUCAACGGAUAAAAGCUACCCUGGGGAUAACAGGCUGAUCUCCCCCAAGAGUCCACAUCGACGGGGAGGUUUGGCACCUCGAUGUCGGCUCAUCGCAUCCUGGGGCUGAAGUAGGUCCCAAGGGUUGGGCUGUUCGCCCAUUAAAGCGGUACGCGAGCUGGGUUCAGAACGUCGUGAGACAGUUCGGUCCCUAUCUGUCGUGGGCGUAGGAAGUUUGAGAAGAUCUGUCCUCAGUACGAGAGGACCGGGAUGGACAUAUCAAUGGUGCACCAGUUGUCACGCCAGUGGCACAGCUGGGUAGCUAAAUAUGGAAGGGAUAAACGCUGAAGGCAUCUAAGUGUGAAACCCACUUCAAGAUGAGACUUCCCAUUACGCAAGUAAGUAAGACCCCUUAAAGACGAUAAGGUUGAUAGGUCAGGAGUGUAAGCAUGGCGACAUGUUCAGCGGACUGAUACUAAUAGGUCGAGGACUUAACCUA
RNAcentral lists this ribosomal RNA (1019 nucleotides) under human gut metagenome. RNAcentral describes it as "bacterial LSU rRNA". It matches the Rfam family "Bacterial large subunit ribosomal RNA", at positions 1908 to 2925 of the family's 2925-position model. The record is from RNAcentral.